RNAcentral lists this long non-coding RNA (2713 nucleotides) under Sus scrofa (pig). RNAcentral's name for it is "lncRNA (ENSSSCG00045021725.1)". The record is from RNAcentral. Lineage: Eukaryota; Metazoa; Chordata; Mammalia; Artiodactyla; Suidae.
AUGCUUUAAUUGUCAGGGUUUGUGGUGUGAGUGUAUCAGGAGCUUAGAUGUGCCUGGUCUUCCAUCUAGGUGGAGUAGAUGGUUGCUAGGUUAAUAGAUUCUUUUCUUGAGGGGUCAUUAGCUUAUAACAGCCUCCCAAACUCCCUUAAAAUUCCUUCUUUGGAGUUCCCGUUGUGGCUUAUCGGAUUCGUUAACCACUGAGCCAUGACGGGAACUCCCUGGUGUAUAUUUAGAUACAAAAACUAAACCAUUAAAAAUAAGACUUAAUGAGAAUGUUGUAUAACCUCAGACUGGAGGUUUAUUUUUUUAAAUAAGAAAGCACAUGGAGAAGCUUUAAAGAAAGGAGAAAAGUAUUUGAAAAGCCAUGGUUACACAGUUGGGUAGGUUGGGUAGGGAUGGUCACUCUUCAGGGAGGCCUUUUGAGCAAGUGCUUAAGAGAGAAGUAAUGUCAAUGCCUGAGGAGGAGGAGGAAGCAACAUUAUCGGCACAUGUGAAGGGCCUAUGGCAGGGAUAUGCUUGGCCUGUUGGAGUAACAGCAAGAAGUUGGUGUAUUUGCAAGGGAUGAGGUUGUUGAAGUCACCAGCAGCCUGGUCAGGAAGAACGUUGGGAUGCUGCUGUCACCAUUAUUAAUCAACAUGAUUCUAGAGACUAAAUAAUGACAUCAAACUCACAUUGUUAUAAUACAGAAAAAUUAUUUUGUAUUGAGGGGAUGUGCUUAUACACAUGUGAAACCCAGGAAACUUGACAUAACUGAGAAGUAAUAAAAGAAUUGAGAAAGGCUUGAUAUACAAUGACUAUGAAAAAAUCAAUAGUUUUUCCCUAUACUAGCACUAAAUAGCUAGAAAGGGAAAAUGACCAAAAGGCCCUAUUCAGAGGCAAAACCAAAAUAUGAAGAUAUGAAUAUAAAUAUAAAAUAGGAAUGUAUUUUACAAAAAUAAUAGUGAAUGCAUGCAGAAAUAAUAAUAAAAUCAUAAGAAAGGGCUUAAAACAAGACUUGAAAGUAUGUGUUCUUGGAUGACAAAGUAUGUAAAUACCAUUUAAUACAACCCCAAUUCCAAUCCUAAUGAAGUCUCAAGUUUUUUUUAAAUUGCAUAAAAAUAUAUGAAACUUUAUAUAGAAGAAUAAAUGCCCCCAAAUAACCAAAAGAAUAGAGAAGAGGAUUUUCUGUUAGCUGAGAUUAAAACUAAUUGCAAAGCCCUAUUAACAUCCUAUGGCUGGCAAUUAACAUUUAGGUCAGUGGGUUAGCAAAGUUUUCUGUAAAAGACAAGAUAGCAAAAAUUUUUUUUUUAAUCUGUAAUAUUUUAUUUAAAAACGGAAAAAAAUUCUAAAGUAAGAUUUGGCAAAACUGUGUAACAGGCCCCUGGGUGUUUGCUUUACUUUCUCUGUAGUAAGAUAGCAAAUAUUUUAAACCUUGUGAGCCAUUUGGUCUCAUGGCCAUUUGGAAAAGACAGUUUGUUUAAUAAAUGGUGCCAGCUAUUAUACUAGUUUAUACUAACCCGAAACAAUAAAUAUUAAAUCCCUAAAAUGUAAAAAGAAAUUUUUGGUGUAUAAAGAUUUAGAUACAAAAACUAAACCAUAAAAUAAGAAGACUUAUGAGAAUGUUGUGUAACCUGGGACUGGAGGUUUAUAUUUUUAAAUAAGAGAGCAUAUGGAGAAGCUUUAAAGAAAGGAGAAAAGUAUUUGACUACAUAUAAGUGGAAUUUUGUUUAUGGCAAAGUUACAGAAUUUGAUAACUUAUAAACAAACUAUGAUAAUGUAUAAUCUGUGAAGAAAGUAAUAAAAUGGCAGUCUAUGAAAAAUACCUGUCAUAUAUGUGAAGAAAAAGGGCUAAAGUCUAUAACUUGUGAAGUGCCUCUAUAACCCAGUUAAAAACAAAACAAAACAAAACACGGAUGACAGUUCUUGAAAAGAAAACAGGUAGCCAGUGACUAAAGACAAAGAUGCUCAAUGUUACUAGAAGCUGUUCUCUUCUAUAAAAUAGGAUAGUUAUAGUACCCACCUUAUAGUACUGUUGAAAGACCACCUUAUAAUACUGUUGUAUUAAAUCAGAUAAUACAAAGUAUUAAAGUGCUUUGUCCAUAGGGUGUGCUCCACAAAUGUUAAUUUAUUAUCCUGUAGAAAUAAAAGCACAAGUAGGCAAGGGUUGCUGAGAAAGGAUGGUUAUGCCAUUUUGUUUGCAGUUGGGAAUAGCUGGAAACAACGAGAAUGGCUUGUCAGUAGGGAAAUGACUGAAUAAAUUAUUGUGUACCAUUCCUAAGGAAUGGUAUGCAAUAAUUUGAUGUAACUAGUUUAAAUUACAUUCAUAGGUGUGGAAAGUGUUUUAUGAUGUAUUGUUUAGGAGAAAUGCAAAUUUUGGAGAAAUAUAGAAAGCAUGACUUCAGUUCUAUAGCAAAAAUCCUUUGGCAUGUUUUUAUAUAAUACUGAAACAUUAACAUUCUACUUUAAAAAUCACUGUUUCGGGAGUUCCUGUCAUGACACAGCAGAAACAAAUCCGACUAGGAACCAUGAGGUUGCAGGUUUGAUCCCUGCCCUGGCUCAGUGGGUUAAGGAUCCAGCGUUGCCAUGAGCUGUGGUGUAGGCUGCAGACGUGGCUCGGAUCUGGCAUUGCUGUGGCUGUGGUAUAGGCCGACAGGUGUAGUUCUGAUUGGACCCCUAACUUGGGAACCUCCAUAUGCUGUGGGUGUGGCCCUAAAAAGCAAAAAAAAAAAAAAAA